RNAcentral lists this ribosomal RNA (159 nucleotides) under Micromonospora carbonacea. Its description in RNAcentral is "16S rRNA. Bacterial SSU". It matches the Rfam family "Bacterial small subunit ribosomal RNA", at positions 1 to 160 of the family's 1533-position model. The record is from RNAcentral. Lineage: Bacteria; Bacillati; Actinomycetota; Actinomycetes; Micromonosporales; Micromonosporaceae.
UUUUGUUGGAGAGUUUGAUCCUGGCUCAGGACGAACGCUGGCGGCGUGCUUAACACAUGCAAGUCGAGCGGAAAGGCCCUUCGGGGUACUCGAGCGGCGAACGGGUGAGUAACACGUGAGCAACCUGCCCUAGGCUUUGGGAUAACCCUCGGAAACGGG